RNAcentral lists this ribosomal RNA (427 nucleotides) under uncultured bacterium. RNAcentral's name for it is "partial 16S ribosomal RNA". It matches the Rfam family "Bacterial small subunit ribosomal RNA", at positions 354 to 796 of the family's 1533-position model. The record is from RNAcentral.
GUGAGGAAUCUUCCACAAUGGGCGAAAGCCUGAUGGAGCAACGCCGCGUGAAGGAUGAAGGUCUUCGGAUUGUAAACUUCUUUUAUGAGUGAAGAAUAUGACGGUAACUCAUGAAUAAGCACCGGCUAACUACGUGCCAGCAGCCGCGGUCAUACGUAGGGUGCAAGCAUUAUCCGGAGUGACUGGGCGUAAAGAGUUGCGUAGGCGGUUAUGUAAGCGAAUAGUGAAACCUGGUGGCUCAACCACACAGACUAUUAUUCGAACUGCAUAACUAGAGAAUGGUAGAGGUAACUGGAAUUUCUUGUGUAGGAGUGAAAUCCGUAGAUAUAAGAAGGAACACCAAUGGCGUAGGCAGGUUACUGGGCCAUUUCUGACGCUAAGGCACGAAAGCGUGGGGAGCGAACCGGAUUAGAUACCCCAGUAGUCC